This is an RNA transcript of Alosa alosa (allis shad), 1177 nucleotides long. It is a transcript of the gene named vestigial like family member 1, with no coding region annotated. The transcript is spliced from 4 exons. Lineage: Eukaryota; Metazoa; Chordata; Actinopteri; Clupeiformes; Clupeidae. The record is from RefSeq and is a predicted model, not a curated record.
GAUCAACUGGCUCAGCCACAUUCUCCAGACACGCUAACAGGGAUUUCCUGAUCGUCCUAACCCACAUUUGAAAAAGCAAAAGCUAUAGCGUGAAACCUCUUACUGCAGACUUUAUUCAUCUGCCAUGUAGGAUUGAGAUAUUUAGAGCACCUAAAUACAUGUGGAACUGACCGAGUAUCAUUUCCGUGCUCAUUUUGCACAGGCAGUGAAAAGACAGAACUAAGACAGAGAAGGGGAUGAAUCUCACUGGACUUUGAUGGAAGAUUUAGCAGGUAAUCCAGACGUUUGGAAGAAAGAGGAUGGGUCAAACACUGUCAUAUACAACUAUUUUGAAUGUGACAUCAAUAGCAUGGUGGAUGCUCAUUUUAUCCGUGCCUUAAACAAAGGUAAACCAAGUUCCAACUACAGAAAAGGCCCAGUGGAGGACCGGCAAUUGGAAUGUUCAUCAUCCUUGGGUCCUGCAGGUCCUCAUAAGACCUCACAUGGCGCACUUCCGACAGCUGUGGAGCCUCUUACAACCCUGCCUCUGUCGUAUGGUCUGACCGGUGAAACCCUGGACCUGCUGACUGGAGGGCCCGGGCAGAUGGUAGGUGUUGAACUGCCCUCUCUGUUGUACUCGCUGCCGGAGCCUGCUGAGGACCUGGACCUGAUGGAGAGGAAUUAUGGGAGCUCUCUGCUCAGAGUGCUGCACGGUGACCGCCCGGAACUGGGGACAGUAGUGGUGGCUGGACCCAAGGCCGGGGUCAUCCACAGAUGGGCCCACAACCAUUUGCGCACACAACAGCCUAACCCUGAUGAAAGACAUAGCUCUGGUAGAUUAUACCUUCCUACUGACUAACUACAGUACUUAAUUAAUGUCAUAUGGUGCUAUGCAAUGCUGAGCCAGAAUGUGACUUGUCAAAAGCUUUGUUCAGAAAACCUGACAUGUAUCUGUGUGUCUGCCUAGCAUAUUGAGUGAGAUGUGUAGUGCAGCCAAGGCCAUUAUCCAACAUCACCUUUUUCUGGAAGAGGAUGAUGAGGGUCAUUUGAUUUAGCAGUUAUGCAUAGAGGGAUGUUGACUAAUUUAUUUUGUGUUGGUGUCAGGGUUUCAUAACAUGGGCAUUACCUUCCACAUGCGCUUGUGAUGAUUAGGUGAAUUAAGUGUUUUUAUUAAAACUACAUCUUACUAUGCCUAUAA